GGCUGGUGCAGCGAUGUUUAAUGGCAAUUCGUAUAAACCAAGCCCAUGCACAAGUAGAAAGUGCCCGUGGAGCCGGCAGGAGGCCCCCGCCGCGCUAGAGAACCACAAGCCCGGCCGUGCAGCCCUCCCCGCGGCGCCUUAAAUAGAUUCUUCACUAUACUCUGUAUGUUACAGUAUGUACAAGACCCCUCCCCUCGGGGGACGGGGCGGACUCCGCAACGCGUUCCUAUGUACACCACCUCCCCUUCGGCCCUGAGGUCAGUGGCCAGAGUCGGGUGAUGGGGUAAGACAGGGCCAGAGAGGGAGGAAACAGACGCAAACAUGCGGAGUCGGGUGGGGACACGGUCAGCCCUGAAACACGAGGGGCGUGCGCAGCGAAGGCAGUGGUGGGAACCGAGGCGGAUACAUUCAGAGACGCGUCGAACAAAUAAAUAAGGUGCUGCUAACCCUGUCUUUCUGGGCCACUGUUCCAGACUCAUUCAUUUAUACUGAUGGGGCUCCCACUUGGGGGUCCCUCUGUGCUGAGAUGCUAUGGAGAAUAUAGGAUAAAAAGGAGAUACUCCAAGUGGGGAUUCAAAGCUGAACAAAUGGAGGACUUGACACCCU
RNAcentral lists this long non-coding RNA (606 nucleotides) under Pan troglodytes (chimpanzee). RNAcentral's name for it is "long non-coding RNA NONPTRT006608". Lineage: Eukaryota; Metazoa; Chordata; Mammalia; Primates; Hominidae. The record is from RNAcentral.